GAUUUGACCUCAAAUCAGGUAGGACUACCCGCUGAACUUAA
Molecule: ribosomal RNA, 41 nt
Filed under: cf. Inocybe sp. EC99 A59
Lineage: Eukaryota; Fungi; Basidiomycota; Agaricomycetes; Agaricales; Cortinariaceae
Description: partial 28S ribosomal RNA
Source: RNAcentral